CCUACGGGAGGCAGCAGUGAGGAAUAUUGGUCAAUGGGCGCGAGCCUGAACCAGCCAAGUAGCGUGAAGGAUGACUGCCCUACGGGUUGUAAACUUCUUUUAUAAAGGAAUAAAGUGAGGCACGUGUGCCUUUUGGUAUGUCCUUUAUGAAUAAGGAUCGGCUAACUCGGUGCCAGCAGCCGCGGUAAUACGGAGGAUCCGAGCGUUAUCCGAAUUUAUUGGGUUUAAAGGGAGCGUAGAUGGGUUGUUAAGUCAGUUGUGAAAGUUUGCGGCUCAACCGUAAAAUUGCAAUUGAUACUGGCAGUCUUGAGUACAGAUGCGGUAGGAGGAAUUCGUGGUGUAGCGGUGAAAUGCUUAGAUAUCACGCAGAACUCCGAUUGCGAAGGCAGCUUACUAAACUGCCACUGACAUUGAUGCUCGAAAGUGUGGGUAUCAAACAGGAUUAGAUACCCGGGUAGUC
Molecule: ribosomal RNA, 460 nt
Filed under: uncultured bacterium
Lineage: Bacteria
Description: partial 16S ribosomal RNA
Rfam family: Bacterial small subunit ribosomal RNA
Source: RNAcentral